This 532-nucleotide ribosomal RNA is filed under the name Schizorhynchidae sp. 214386076. RNAcentral's name for it is "SSU rRNA". It matches the Rfam family "Eukaryotic small subunit ribosomal RNA", at positions 78 to 604 of the family's 1831-position model. Lineage: Eukaryota; Metazoa; Platyhelminthes; Rhabdocoela; Schizorhynchidae. The record is from RNAcentral.
ACGGUGAAACCGCGAAUGGCUCAUUAAAUCAGCUAUGGUUCCUUAGAUCUUACAUCCUUACUUGGAUAACUGUGGUAAUUCUAGAGCUAAUACAUGCCAAAGAACCUUGACUUGUUAAAAGUUGGGGUGGAUUUAUUAGAACAAAACCAACCGGCUUAUGCCGUUGAUUUGAUGACUCUGGAUAACUUUUCUGAUCGCAAGGCCUUAGUGCCAGCGACGUAUCUUUCAAGUGUCUGCCCUAUCAACUAUCGAUGGUAGGUGAUAUGCCUACCAUGGUUAUAACGGGUAACGGGGAAUCAGGGUUCGAUUCCGGAGAGGGAGCCUUAGAAACGGCUACCACAUCUAAGGAAGGCAGCAGGCGCGCAAAUUACCCACUCUCAGCUCGAGGAGGUAGUGACGAAAAAUAACAAUACGGGACUCAUACGAGGCCACGUAAUUGGAAUGAGUACAAUUUAAAUCGUUUAACGAGUACCAAUUGGAGGGCAAGUCUGGUGCCAGCAGCCGCGGUAACUCCAGCUCCAAUAGCAUAUAU